This 70-nucleotide transfer RNA is filed under the name Acetoanaerobium noterae. Its description in RNAcentral is "partial tRNA_Ser_TGA". It matches the Rfam family "tRNA", at positions 17 to 71 of the family's 71-position model. From Rfam's summary of the family: Transfer RNA (tRNA) molecules are approximately 80 nucleotides in length. Their secondary structure includes four short double-helical elements and three loops (D, anti-codon, and T loops). The record is from RNAcentral. Lineage: Bacteria; Bacillati; Bacillota; Clostridia; Peptostreptococcales; Filifactoraceae.
GGUUUAAGGAGCUGGUCUUGAAAACCAGUGAUUCCGAAAGGGACCGUGGGUUCGAAUCCCACCCUCUCCG